This 253-nucleotide ribosomal RNA is filed under the name uncultured bacterium. RNAcentral's name for it is "partial 16S ribosomal RNA". It matches the Rfam family "Bacterial small subunit ribosomal RNA", at positions 524 to 776 of the family's 1533-position model. The record is from RNAcentral.
UACGUAGGUGGCGAGCGUUGUCCGGAUUUACUGGGCGUAAAGAGCGCGCAGGCGGUCGUUCAAGUCGCGUGUGAAAGCCCCCGGCUCAACUGGGGAGGGUCACGCGAUACUGAUCGACUCGAAGGCAGGAGAGGGAAGUGGAAUUCCCGGUGUAGUGGUGAAAUGCGUAGAUAUCGGGAGGAACACCAGUGGCGAAGGCGACUUCCUGGCCUGUUCUUGACGCUGAGGCGCGAAAGCGUGGGGAUCAAACAGG